Mustela erminea (ermine) is the source of this 574-nucleotide long non-coding RNA. RefSeq lists it as uncharacterized. NCBI's taxonomy places the organism in Eukaryota, Metazoa, Chordata, Mammalia, Carnivora, Mustelidae. The record is from RefSeq and is a predicted model, not a curated record. The transcript is spliced from 2 exons.
GAAAAAAAAAGUGUGUGGCCUUCACUACUGAGUCUUUUCUUUGGAAACCUUUGCUGUUGUGAGAUGGGAAAGUUAUGAAUGUAUAAAGCAUUUUUUCAUCCAUGAACUCACUGAUUUUUGAUAAGGGGUUUUUCAUAUGAUACAGAGGAACAUCCCUUUUUAAUUUCCAGAAGCAUUUCCUACAGUUUGGACAUUACUUUUCCUCUUGAAAUUUCAACUUGAAGCUUUAAUUUGCACUGAAUUAUCAAACCUAGUUAAAAUUUUAAUUUUUUUCUCUUAAGCUGACAGAUUUGGAAGGAAAUUACAGUGUGUUUUCAACAACACAGGUACUGUCUGUUGACCUGGAAUUGUAGUGCUUCUAAGAAAAGUUUCCCAAAAAAGACAGCAAUAGAGUGAAGGGUUUUCUUCCCAAUUACUACUUUUUUUACAUGCCUUUUUUAAACUUGUCUAAUGUGGCAAAAUAGUUAUGUGUUCAAUUAAUUUAUAUCCAUCUUUUUUCAAUUCUGGUUAUUAUGUAAACUCAAGUACUUUAUCUGUUCUUUUAAGGUAUUUUAUAAAAUGAGUCUUAACAAAA